Molecule: transfer RNA, 69 nt
Filed under: Zu cristatus (scalloped ribbonfish)
Lineage: Eukaryota; Metazoa; Chordata; Actinopteri; Lampriformes; Trachipteridae
Description: tRNA-Glu
Rfam family: tRNA
About the family: Transfer RNA (tRNA) molecules are approximately 80 nucleotides in length. Their secondary structure includes four short double-helical elements and three loops (D, anti-codon, and T loops).
Source: RNAcentral
GUUCUUAUAGUUGAAUGACAACAGUGGUUUUUCAAGUCGCUAGUCCUGGUUAAAGUCCGGGUGAGAAUU